Molecule: ribosomal RNA, 1269 nt
Filed under: Triticum aestivum (bread wheat)
Lineage: Eukaryota; Viridiplantae; Streptophyta; Magnoliopsida; Poales; Poaceae
Description: partial small subunit ribosomal RNA
Source: RNAcentral
AUGGCAGCUCUCAGCUCCACGGCCGCAGCCAUUGCCAUCCUUGCGCUCGCGACCAUGGCCGGAGUAGCUCUAGGAGCGACGGCGGGGACAAAGAAGGCGCCGGUGAUCUACAUUUUCGGCGACUCGAUGUCGGACGUCGGCAACAACAACUACCUCCUCCUCUCCAUCGCCAAGUGCAACUACCCCUGGUACGGGAUUGACUACGAAGGUGGCUACCCCACCGGGAGGUUCACCAAUGGCAGGACCAUCGGAGACAUCAUGGCUGCCAAGUUUGGCGUCCCACCGCCGCCGCCGUUCCUCUCCCUGUAUAUGACCGACGAUGAGGUCGAGUACCUGUCGUUCGACAACCAGAUAUCGUACUUUGAGCAGAUCAAGAACGCCAUGAUCGGCAAGAUCGGCAAGAAGGCCGCCGAGGAGGUGGUCAAUGGCGCAAUCUUCCAGAUCGGACUUGGGAGCAACGACUACGUCAACAACUUCUUGCGGCCGUUCAUGGCGGACGGCUUCGUGUACACCCACGACCAGUUCAUCGGCCUCCUCAUGGAGACCAUCAGCCAGCAGCUCACGAGGUUGUACCAUCUCGGGGCGCGUAAUGUGUGGUUCACGGGGCUCGCGCCGCUCGGCUGCAUCCCGUCGCAGCGCGUCCUCUCGGACAACGGCGAGUGCCUGGAAGACGUGAACUUGUACGCCCUUCAGUUCAACGCCGCGGCCAAGGACCUGCUGGACCGCCUCAACGCCAAGCUCCCCGGCGCGCGCAUGUCCCUCGCCGACUGCUACUCCGUCGUCAUGGAGCUCAUCGAGCACCCAAAGAAAUACGGUUUCACGACGUCCCACACGUCGUGCUGCGACGUGGACACGUCGGUGGGGGGCCUGUGCCUGCCGACGGCGGACGUCUGCGACGACCGCAGCCAGUUCGUGUUCUGGGACGCGUACCACACCUCCGACGCGGCCAACCAGGUCAUUGCCGGCCGCCUCUACGCCGACAUGGUGAGCGCCGGCGACGUGCAGGAGGGCAACACCACCGUCUCCGACGCGCCUCGCGUCGUCCGGUCACCACGCCCCGUGCCUCCUUCCCGGCCCGCAGUGCGUGGUGGCGGCAACACCACCUCCGCCCCCCGCGCCGCGCCGGCCGCGCGGCCUGUGCAUGGCAACGGCACCACCUCCGCGCCCCGCGCCUCGCCCGCAGCGAGGCCUGUGAAUGGCAACGGCACCACCUCUGCGCCUCCCGUCGUCGGAUCAUCCUCCCACGCCGCGCCGCCUCCCCAGCCUUGA